Molecule: ribosomal RNA, 495 nt
Filed under: uncultured bacterium
Lineage: Bacteria
Description: partial 16S ribosomal RNA
Rfam family: Bacterial small subunit ribosomal RNA
Source: RNAcentral
GAUGAACGCUGGCGGCGUGCCUAAUACAUGCAAGUCGAACGCUGAAGGAGGAGCUUGCUCUUCUGGAUGAGUUGCGAACGGGUGAGUAACGCGUAGGUAACCUGCCUGGUAGCGGGGGAUAACUAUUGGAAACGAUAGCUAAUACCGCAUGACAACAGUUAUUGCAUGAUAACUGUUUAAAAGGGGCAACUGCUCCACUACCAGAUGGACCUGCGUUGUAUUAGCUAGUUGGUGAGGUAACGGCUCACCAAGGCGACGAUACAUAGCCGACCUGAGAGGGUGAUCGGCCACACUGGGACUGAGACACGGCCCAGACUCCUACGGGAGGCAGCAGUAGGGAAUCUUCGGCAAUGGACGGAAGUCUGACCGAGCAACGCCGCGGGAGUGAAGAAGGUUGUCGGAUCGUAAAGCUCGGUUGUAAGAGAAGAACGAGUGUGAGAGUGGAAAGUUCACACUGUGACGGUAUCUUACCAGAAAGGGACGGCUAACUACGUG